Molecule: transfer RNA, 59 nt
Filed under: Grandidierella taihuensis
Lineage: Eukaryota; Metazoa; Arthropoda; Malacostraca; Amphipoda; Corophiidae
Description: tRNA-Gln
Source: RNAcentral
UUUAUCUCGGUGUUAGAGCACAUAAAUUUUUGGUGUUUAAGGAAGGGAACUAGAUAAAU